GAGUAACACGUGGGUAAUCUACCCUUUGGUCUGGAACAACUCGGGGAAACUCGUGCUAAUUCCGGAUAAGACCACUAGAUGCUUUCUAGUGGGAAAAGCGGGGGCCUUCUUCGGAAGCCUCGUGCCAUCGGAUGAGCCCGCGGCCCAUCAGGUAGUUGGUAGGGUAACGGCCUACCAAGCCUAAGACGGGUAGCUGGUCUGAGAGGAUGAUCAGCCACACUGGAACUGAGACACGGUCCAG
This 241-nucleotide ribosomal RNA is filed under the name uncultured bacterium. RNAcentral's name for it is "partial 16S ribosomal RNA". It matches the Rfam family "Bacterial small subunit ribosomal RNA", at positions 108 to 334 of the family's 1533-position model. The record is from RNAcentral.